CAACUUGACUGAAGGAGCAAUCUGACAGUAGAGUGGCGCAAGGGUGCGUAACGCGUAAGUAACUUGCCCAAGGUAAGGAAUAACGUCGAGAAAUCGGCGCUAAUACCUCAUAAUGCAGCGGAUCCGCAUGGAUAUGUUGUUAAAGGUUUACCGCCUUGGGAUAGGCUUGCGUCUGAUUAGCUAGUUGGUGUGGUAACGGCACACCAAGGCUACGAUCAGUAACUGGUCUGAGAGGAUGAUCAGUCACACUGGAACUGAGACACGGUCCAGACUCCUACGGGAGGCAGCAGUGAGGAAUAUUGGGCAAUGCUCGAAAGAGUGACCCAGCAACGCCGCGUGGAGGAUGAAGGUAUUCUAUAUCGUAAACUCCUGUGAGAGCAGACGAAAGACAGAUUAUUAAUCUGGAUGACUGUAUGCUCAGAGGAAGCCCCGGCUAACUACGUG
RNAcentral lists this ribosomal RNA (444 nucleotides) under uncultured bacterium. RNAcentral's name for it is "bacterial SSU rRNA". It matches the Rfam family "Bacterial small subunit ribosomal RNA", at positions 64 to 507 of the family's 1533-position model. The record is from RNAcentral.